Molecule: ribosomal RNA, 253 nt
Filed under: uncultured bacterium
Lineage: Bacteria
Description: partial 16S ribosomal RNA
Rfam family: Bacterial small subunit ribosomal RNA
Source: RNAcentral
UACGAAGGGGGCUAGCGUUACUCGGAAUUACUGGGCGUAAAGGGCGCGUAGGCGGCGUUCCAAGUUAGGCGUGAAAGUCCUGGGCUCAACCUGGGAACUGCGCUUGAUACGGCAGAGCUAGAGGAUGGAAGAGGCUCGCGGAAUUCCCAGUGUAGAGGUGAAAUUCGUAGAUAUUGGGAAGAACACCGGUGGCGAAGGCGGCGAGCUGGUCCAUUACUGACGCUGAGGCGCGACAGCGUGGGGAGCAAACAGG